Molecule: ribosomal RNA, 202 nt
Filed under: Pestalotiopsis caudata
Lineage: Eukaryota; Fungi; Ascomycota; Sordariomycetes; Amphisphaeriales; Sporocadaceae
Also listed under: 1 other name
Description: 5.8S ribosomal RNA
Rfam family: 5.8S ribosomal RNA (bases 34-187)
About the family: 5.8S ribosomal RNA (5.8S rRNA) is a component of the large subunit of the eukaryotic ribosome. It is transcribed by RNA polymerase I as part of the 45S precursor that also contains 18S and 28S rRNA. Functionally, it is thought that 5.8S rRNA may be involved in ribosome translocation.
Source: RNAcentral
UUGUAAUCUGAGCGUCUUAUUUUAAUAAGUCAAAACUUUCAACAACGGAUCUCUUGGUUCUGGCAUCGAUGAAGAACGCAGCGAAAUGCGAUAAGUAAUGUGAAUUGCAGAAUUCAGUGAAUCAUCGAAUCUUUGAACGCACAUUGCGCCCAUUAGUAUUCUAGUGGGCAUGCCUGUUCGAGCGUCAUUUCAACCCUUAAGC